AUUGAACGCUGGCGGCAUGCCUUACACAUGCAAGUCGAACGAAGCACUUAACUUGAUUUCUUCGGAUUGAUUGUUCUGUGACUGAGUGGCGGACGGGUGAGUAACGCGUGGGUAACCUGCCUCAUACAGGGGGAUAACAGUUAGAAAUGACUGCUAAUACCGCAUAAGCGCACGGUAUCGCAUGAUACAGUGUGAAAAGCCGAGACGGUAUGAGAUGGACCCGCGUCUGAUUAGGUAGUUGGUGAGGUAACGGCCCACCAAGCCGACGAUCAGUAGCCGACCUGAGAGGGUGACCGGCCACAUUGGGACUGAGACACGGCCCAA
RNAcentral lists this ribosomal RNA (324 nucleotides) under uncultured bacterium. Its description in RNAcentral is "bacterial SSU rRNA". It matches the Rfam family "Bacterial small subunit ribosomal RNA", at positions 30 to 334 of the family's 1533-position model. The record is from RNAcentral.